RNAcentral lists this ribosomal RNA (237 nucleotides) under Vibrio parahaemolyticus. RNAcentral describes it as "partial 23S ribosomal RNA". It matches the Rfam family "Bacterial large subunit ribosomal RNA", at positions 1 to 246 of the family's 2925-position model. Lineage: Bacteria; Pseudomonadati; Pseudomonadota; Gammaproteobacteria; Vibrionales; Vibrionaceae. The record is from RNAcentral.
GUGACUAAGCGUACACGGUGGAUGCCUUGGCAGUCAGAGGCGAUGAAGGACGUAGUAACUUGCGAUAAGCCCAGAUUAGGUAGUAACAACCAUUUGAGUCUGGGAUUUCCGAAUGGGGAAACCCACUAGCAUAAGCUAGUAUCGUUAUGUGAAUACAUAGCAUAACGAGGCGAACCGGGGGAACUGAAACAUCUAAGUACCCCGAGGAAAAGAAAUCAACCGAGAUUCCGAAAGUAG